UAGGGAAUCUUCCGCAAUGGGCGAAAGCCUGACGGAGCAACGCCGCGUGAGUGAUGAAGGUCUUCGGAUCGUAACUCUGUUAUUAGGGAAGAACAAAUGUGUAAGUAACUAUGCACGUCUUGACGGUACCUAAUCAGAAAGCCACGGCUAACUACGUGCCAGCAGCCGCGGUAAUACGUAGGUGGCAAGCGUUAUCCGGAAUUAUUGGGCGUAAAGCGCGCGUAGGCGGUUUUUUAAGUCUGAUGUGAAAGCCCACGGCUCAACCGUGGAGGGUCAUUGGAAACUGGAAAACUUGAGUGCAGAAGAGGAAAGUGGAAUUCCAUGUGUAGCGGUGAAAUGCGCAGAGAUAUGGAGGAACACCAGUGGCGAAGGCGACUUUCUGGUCUGUAACUGACGCUGAUGUGCGAAAGCGUGGGGAUCAAACAGG
Molecule: ribosomal RNA, 427 nt
Filed under: Actinomycetes bacterium
Lineage: Bacteria; Bacillati; Actinomycetota; Actinomycetes
Description: Actinobacteria bacterium partial 16S ribosomal RNA
Rfam family: Bacterial small subunit ribosomal RNA
Source: RNAcentral